Nymphaea colorata (pocket water lily) is the source of this 101-nucleotide small nuclear RNA. Lineage: Eukaryota; Viridiplantae; Streptophyta; Magnoliopsida; Nymphaeales; Nymphaeaceae. The record is from RefSeq and is a predicted model, not a curated record.
GAUUAGCUAAAGACAUCCGAUAAAAUUAGAACGAUACAGAGAAGAUUAACAUAGCCCUGCCUAAGGAUCGCAUGCAUAAAUCAAAAUCCCUUCACGUCGAU